Molecule: long non-coding RNA, 880 nt
Filed under: Helianthus annuus (common sunflower)
Lineage: Eukaryota; Viridiplantae; Streptophyta; Magnoliopsida; Asterales; Asteraceae
Description: hypothetical non coding rna
Source: RNAcentral
GAGUGGAGCCCUAGUCGAUUGGCAACCCGCCGCCAAAGGUGGUGGUUCAUUUUGACAAGCGCAGGGACUGGUCUUUAAGUUUAACCCUAGUACCUUCCCCAAAUCAGAAUGGCACUAAACCCAAUGGUGCGGGCAUUGCAGCGGCCAACCACCAUCAAUACUCCAUCUAUGUUCUUCAUCCUAUCAUUUUGGAUCUGUGUGGAUGUUAGAGGUGAUGGUGAAACUCUUAGCCAAGUUGUAUCGUCUCAGGGGAAGAAAUGUUUAUGUUUAGUUUUCAUCUCAUCAAGAGCUAACCACAAUGUAGCAAAAUACUCAAGGACGAGUAGACUAGGAGGUUGACAUAUUUUAAAGAAGGGAUCUUUUUGGAGCUCAGAGCAUUGUCAUUAACAAGCCUCUUUCCCAGUCAGAAUGGGUUCAAUUGGGUUCGGGUCAAAACGGGUCGCAACCAAAAUAAGUUUGGGUCAAGAUGGAUUCUAGCAAAAAUAGGUACGGGUCAAAAUGGAUCAACUUUGACUAUAUUAAACUACCAUAAGAGAAUCCCUUAUGUAUUAACGCUACGUGUCUACGUCAGCCAGGAGGUACUGAAUGCGGCUACUAUGUGAUGAAAUUCAUGAAGGAGAUAGCUUACGAAGGAGUUGAAAUACUUGAUAAUGAUAAUGGAAAGGAGUAGAAGAAUACUCGGCUGCGGAUAUGGAUGACAUUCAUGAAGAUUGGUUGACUUAUGCGAUUAACCUUAUUUUUAAGUUAUAAAUCUUAUUUUAGGUGUUGAUAAUGUAUUGACAAACAAUUCUUUUUUUGUUAAUGUAAAAAUAUUUGUAGUAUACUUGGCAAAUGAUUAUGUAAUGGAUUGUUUUGGUAUAUAUAUGUGUGUGUAUUUGUU